UCAAUAAGCGGAGGAAAAGAAACCAACAGGGAUUGCCCUAGUAACGGCGAGUGAAGCGGCAACAGCUCAAAUUUGAAAUCUGGCGCAAGCCCGAGUUGUAAUUUGUAGAGGAUGCUUCUGGGCAGCGGCCGGUCUAAGUUCCUUGGAACAGGACGUCACAGAGGGUGAGAAUCCCGUAUGUGACCGGCGCGCACCCUCCACGUAGCUCCUUCGACGAGUCGAGUUGUUUGGGAAUGCAGCUCUAAAUGGGAGGUAAAUUUCUUCUAAAGCUAAAUACCGGCCAGAGACCGAUAGCGCACAAGUAGAGUGAUCGAAAGAUGAAAAGCACUUUGGAAAGAGAGUUAAAAAGCACGUGAAAUUGUUGAAAGGGAAGCGCUUGCAACCAGACUCCGCGGCGGUGUUCCGCCGGUCUUCUGACCGGUCCACUCGCCGCCGCGGGGCCAACAUCGUCUGGGGCCGCCGGACAAGACUGGAGGAAUGUAGCUCCCUCGGGAGUGUUAUAGCCUUCAGUGAUGCGGCGCGUCCCGGGCGAGGUCCGCGCUUCGGCAAGGAUGUUGGCGUAAUGGUUGCCAGCGGCCCGUCUUGAAACACGGACCAAGGAGUCUAACAUCUAUGCGAGUGUUCGGGUGUCAAACCCCUACGCGUAAUGAAAGUGAACGGAGGUGGGAGCUUCGGCGCACCAUCGACCGAUCCUGAUGUCCUCGGAUGGAUUUGAGUAAGAGCAUAGCUGUUGGGACCCGAAAGAUGGUGAACUAUGCCUGAAUAGGGUGAAGCCAGAGGAAACUCUGGUGGAGGCUCGCAGCGGUUCUGACGUGCAAAUCGAUCGUCAAAUUUGGGUAUAGGGGGCGAAAGACUAAUCGA
This 861-nucleotide ribosomal RNA is filed under the name Microcyclosporella mali. Its description in RNAcentral is "LSU rRNA". It matches the Rfam family "Eukaryotic large subunit ribosomal RNA", at positions 43 to 938 of the family's 3401-position model. Lineage: Eukaryota; Fungi; Ascomycota; Dothideomycetes; Mycosphaerellales; Mycosphaerellaceae. The record is from RNAcentral.